CCUGCAUCCAGUCCAUGCCGCGUGUGUGAAGAAGGCCCUCCGGUUGUAAAGCACUUUCAGUGGGGGAAGAAAGCCUUGGGGUUAAUACCCUCGAGGAAGGACAUCACCCACUGAAGAAGCACCGGCUAACUCCGUGCCAGCAGCCGCGGUAAUAC
This 155-nucleotide ribosomal RNA is filed under the name bacterium enrichment culture clone 4/04bandG. Its description in RNAcentral is "partial 16S ribosomal RNA". It matches the Rfam family "Bacterial small subunit ribosomal RNA", at positions 382 to 526 of the family's 1533-position model. The record is from RNAcentral.